Non-coding RNA from Gnomoniopsis smithogilvyi, 127 nucleotides. NCBI's taxonomy places the organism in Eukaryota, Fungi, Ascomycota, Sordariomycetes, Diaporthales, Gnomoniaceae. The record is from the annotation of a GenBank genome assembly.
AGCUGCAUAGCUCAGGGGAAGAGUGAGUCAACUUCGAAUUCCCCAAAUUCUCAAACCACCAUUAACACCAAAAACAGGCGCCGGGCUCAUAACCCGGAGGUCCAAGGAUCGAAACCUUGUGCAGCUA